RNAcentral lists this long non-coding RNA (1102 nucleotides) under Stegodyphus dumicola. RNAcentral's name for it is "uncharacterized LOC118190199, transcript variant X1". Lineage: Eukaryota; Metazoa; Arthropoda; Arachnida; Araneae; Eresidae. The record is from RNAcentral.
UUCACUUCUCAUUUCCUUUUAAUGAAAUAUGAUAGCCGUGUUAGACGAAAGACCCGAAUUAGAGCAGUGUCACGGUAUUGGUAGAACGACAGUUCAGUCUGCUAGUGUUUAUUACAAACAGUAGAAAAAAAUAUUCAUAUAUGAAUCUCCUUAAUACCAAUAGUUCGUCUUGCUACGGAAUCGCACGAGCCACUGACAACUGACUCAGAUCAAAGUUCGCAGGAGGAAAAAAAAUCCAGCUCUCGUUAGUUUUGAACGGAUUCAUUUUCUAGCUAGUCGCAUCUUUUGGAUUUCGCUUUCACUUUUAAGGGAAAGUGCUGCACUUUUUAGCUUGACACUUGAUGGCGGCUCGAUUCUGAAGAGGUUUGUAGAGUUGAAAGAGAAAUUACUAGAGUUAUCUUCAUCUCGAACUGUAGAUGCUCAUGUUGGAAACUGAAGACUUUCAAGAUGCCUUUCAUGAACAGAAAGAAGAAAGAAAAAGGUAGGAAGUUUUAUUUUUUCUAUCAGUCUAAAUGUCUUAAAUGAUUGACCCGAUUUUAGAUGACCCUGUUUCCUUACGUGUUAACAUUGUUAAUGUGAACAAAGUUGUUGUACAAAAAAAAAAAAAAAAAAGGUGGCUAUAAUUUUCAUUUCGAUAUAUAUAUUUUCUAAACAGGUACUUCCAAUUACAAAGUUUCUUGAAAUACGAUAGAAGUCAAUAAAAAAAUAGCUUUUACAAUAGGGAUAGGAUGAAUCUGUAAAUACAAAACUAACAUUUUAUAUGGCUUCGAUAGAGUAAAACGUCCAUAAAGAUUUUUAUAGCAUAAAUUAAAUACGUAUUCCAGAACGAAUUUAUUGACUUAGAUCAAUGCUGCGAAGCAGUUUCAAUCAGAUUUUCAGGAAAUUUAUGGAAUCUGCUAAAGAAAGAAGGGCUUGAGCGAAUAUUUAUGCAGGAUAAUGUGGUAUUUGUUAUUUACUUUGACAUCUGACCUCAUCAAUCUAUUAACUAUCAACAUCCCUACGAAUUUGUACUUGUUGUUAAAGGUAGAUUAUUAACAUAUUAAUGUAUUGUAUUCAUUUUAAUACAUGUUUCUUUCACUACAGGUUGGAUACAAAAAUUAAG